UGAUUAGUGAUCCAAUGAUCCACCAAUCUGCAAGACCAUCGCCUACAGUGCACGCUCUACCACGCCUCGCGUACCCACGUCAGGAAAGAAAUCCUCAUCCUCGCAGCUCUGCUUAACAAAAACACUCUGCACUCCCACUGCAAAUCCCCAAGCCAACACCUGGAGAAAUGGUAGUUUCUCUCAGGCUACCGACUCUCGCCUCCCUCUUUUUCUCCUCUCCAUCGAUACGUCGGUCACCAGCGUUUUCUGGACGUCGCCUGUAUUUCCGUCCGCCGCCUCUAACGGCUUCCUUCUGCGCUCAGAGCGCGGCGUCGAGCCCUCCUGAGACGGAGGACCGAGUUAAUAACCUCAAGAGUCGUGUCAACCAGGACCGAGUCAUUACUCCCCGAUCUCAAGAUUUCAAUGCUUGGUAUCUUGAUGUUAUUGCCAACGCCGAGCUCGCUGAUUAUGGUCCUGUCCGUGGUACUAUGGUCAUUCGUCCUUAUGGAUAUGCUAUCUGGGAGGCUAUCCAGGAUUAUUUGAAUGUUAAGUUCAAGGAGACAGGGCACAGCAAUAUGUAUUUCCCACAGUUCAUACCUUAUUCAUUUAUUGAGAAGGAAGCUAGUCAUGUUGAGGGCUUCAGUCCAGAAUUGGCUCUGGUAACUAUUGGUGGAGGAAAGGAACUUGAAGAAAAACUUGUGGUUCGACCAACUAGUGAAACCAUAGUGAAUCACAUGUUUACUCAGUGGAUUCAUAGCUACCGAGAUCUUCCUCUCAUGGUCAACCAGUGGGCAAAUGUCACAAGAUGGGAGAUGCGCACAAAACCAUUUGUGAGGACUCUUGAAUUUCUGUGGCAAGAGGGUCAUACAGCUCAUGCGACUCUAGAGGAGGCAGAAAAAGAGGCAUUACUGAUGAUUGACGUCUAUACAAAAUUUGCUUAUGCGCAAGCUGCAAUACCUGUUAUUGCAGGUCGAAAAUCAAAGGUGGAAACCUUUGCUGGUGCUGUUAGGACAUAUACAAUAGAGGCUAUGAUGGGCGAUCAGAAGGCUUUACAGGCUGGAACCAGUCACAACCUUGGUCAAAAUUUCUCUCGGGCUUUUGGAACACAGUUCACUGAUGAAAAUGGACAAAGGCAGCAUGUCUGGCAGACAUCAUGGGCCAUCAGUACCCGCUUUGUUGGUGGUAUUAUCAUGACACAUGGAGAUGAUGCUGGCCUAAUGCUUCCCCCUAAAAUUGCUCCAAUACAGGUAGUGAUUGUACCGAUUUGGAAGAAAGAAAAUGAGAAAGCUGGAGUUCUCAAUGCAGCAUCAUCUGUGAAAGAAGUUUUGCAAUCUACUGGUAUCAAAGUUAAACUUGAUGACUCAGAUCAGAGAACCCCAGGAUGGAAGUUCAAUUUCUGGGAGAUGAAGGGAGUUCCUCUGAGGAUUGAAAUUGGUCCACGGGAUGUUUCAAGUGGAAGUGUGGUUAUAUCUAGGAGAGAUGUUCCUGGAAAGCAAGGGAAAGUAUUUGGAAUAUCUAUGGACCCUUCAAUUUUAGAAGCUUAUGUCAAGGACAAGUUGGAUGAAAUCCAGUCAUCCCUUCUAAGUAGAGCAACAUCAUUUCGGGAUAGUAACAUUGUGGAUGUGAGCUCAUAUGAUGAACUCAAAGCUGCAAUAUCCCUUGGCAAAUGGGCAAGGGGUCCUUGGUCAGCUAGUGAUGCAGAUGAAUUAAAGGUGAAAGAAGAAACAGGAGCAACAAUUCGGUGUUUUCCCUUUGAACAACCUCAAGGGACUAAAACAUGCUUGAUGACUGGCAAGCCAGCAGAAGAAGUUGCAAUUUUUGCUAAAUCUUAUUGAUUUUCAAGGCAUUACUCCUUUUCAAAGAUUUGAUCUUGUUUGGGGGAGCAUUAUGAGUUAUGGUUAUCUACCAAGCUGGAUGAACAGAUUGCUGCCAAUUCUUGCCUCAUCUUUCUUGGCCCGCUUACAAGAACUCCUACACUGUCUCCUUUGCACUCCAAUAAUAUUUCUGUAAGAAUCAACAAUUUAGGAAUUUAGACUAUAAUGACAUACAUACAUGUAGUUCUUAUUUGUCAUUUUUUUUGCAUUUUAAUUUUGCUGUAUUUCAUUACACUUGGUUACUUCUAACUGUACACUGAAUAUAUUUGGUGAAUCUUAAGGUUUAUAGAGAAAGUGUGAGGAAAAUAGCUUACUUUUUAAGUUCGGCCUUUCACCUUGGUGCACCCUGGUGGCUUGGAGAAGAGAUUGGUGAGGAAGGCUUUCCAACUCUCUGUCAGCAUGGCGGGACUGCAAACCUGGGGACAUUCCUGGUGUUGGCAUAUCUGUGUUCUGAAUUUGCUUGAUUUCCUUGGCAUUCUGUUUCUUGUUCCAAAGAAAUGCUGCAGAGGCAGCCAUCACUAUGGAGAUGCUUAUAAAGAAUAGGUUUAAAGCAGCCCUUGCAGGCAAAGAGUAUAUCAUAUCAGUAUUAUGGUCAAUUGGAUAUAUGUAGUAUCUUGUGAGAGUGGUGAUGAGGAUAAGGAAGAUGAUGAAAGAAGCUGAAAUUAUUGCACCAAGCCAAAGCCAGCUAUUUGGACCUAGGACUGCAGAGACUGGCACAUCUGAUACGUCAGGCUUGAACCAUAUUGUUCUGAGGAGCUUCUGUGGAUCUGCUUGGGCCAAUUUCUCUCUGGUAACGUAGGCUUCAAUUUGUAACUGCAAAUGGGAGAUGUCAAAGGUGGUGCCUGUAACUGGGAGUAGAAGCUCUAGCAUGGUGAGAUCCACAGAUUUCUUGAAAGCACAUACGAGGAGAAGCCUCGGGGUCCUGCCAUUCGUUGUAUUGGCUAGAAAUAGGAUCUCACGUGUGAUGGAGAUAAAAGGGGUUAUCCCACUUCCUCCACUAACCAUCACUAGCAAGUCAUGCCUGCAGAAACACUCUCCAUGUUAAUUCAGGCACAUCAAACGUGUGAUAGAAUGUCUUCAAAAUUUGUUUAGAGAGCAAUCACCUCAUAAAAUGAGUUGAAGCAGGACCAUAGGGUCCUUCAAAGGAGACCUGAAGGCGGUCUAUUGGAGCAGGGGAUGACAGCAUCUGAUACAACUUGUGAGACCAAUUGCCUUCACAUUUGAUGACUAUGCUCAACUUUUCAGGAUCCAUAUUGCUGCUGGUUGUGAUUGUAAAGGGAUGCCAUUGUACCUUGGAUAUUCUAGGUACAUUUACAAAUGCGGUGCUUCUUGGAGCAUAGUGCAAUCCUGGCACAGGUUGAACUUCAAUUGCACAUAAAUAGAUUUGCAUAAGAAAUCAUCUAGUUACAAGGGUUAAACCUCACCUGGGUUCUUGGAGAAAUUUAGCUCUACAGUUUCACAGGGCAAAAUUCGUGCUGAAACCAAGCGAAUUCUCUGUUGGGAUUGUAAUAACCUCAAGUAUCGAUCGAUCAUGAAGAGGUAGAAACCAGGAAGGAUAAUGCAAGCACGAGAGAAGCAAACAUGAAACACAUAGAAGACAACAAAAGGAAUAUACAGGUGAUGACUAUAGAAGAAGAGCUCGAAAAUCUUUCGUCUUAUGCGUUUUAAGCUUGUGACCCACAUGAUCAAUCCAGAAAGCAAAGCUAUUUCGCCGGCCACAUUCGAAAUAAAGUGCUUGUCCCAUUUUAGCAUCUGCCAUCCAGGAGGGAUACUUGAAUUUUCAAAAUUAUUCAAAGCUGAAACGCAACAUUUCUCCAAGUGAUUUGGGGAUUGAAGCUUUUACCUGAGACAAUUGAUGGGUUUUGCCCCAAAAAAUAAUAUAGCAUAAGCCGUGGGCGGUGAAGAUAGUCAUGGCAAUAUGGCCUAGCCAUAUAUGGUACUUGAUACUGGCUUCUGAGGUGAGGCCAAGAAUCUGCAAAACUGAGGAGCCUCUGGCUAUUGGGAAGAAGAGAAAGACCAGACAGACAUUCCCAACUAAUCCCAGAGAUAAAGCUGAUAUUUCCAACUUGACUUCCCACCUGCCAAAACGCCCAAAUAAAUGAAAUGAAACUAAAGUUGAAAGAUUGUGGAAAAACGGGAAAAGUUGUAGAAAGAAAUCCUUACACUUGGAAUCCCAAAGAUGCAGCCGUAGGAGCAGCAUACGCGAACAUGGCUUGCAAGUAAGAAUACAAUGACCACACCAUUAACGCAAAGAACAUACCCAAUAAUGAUAGCUCUAUCCCCGUCACAAUCCCAAGGGGACCUUUCGCGAGCACCGGACGUUUGCACCAGGCAAACAAAGAAUGAACUUUGCUGUUUCCAAGAACCCAUUAACUUUAUUAGUAAAGCAGAGAUUAAUCAAACAUAGAGCAUAUUAAUAUAUGUAUCUUUAUUA
Hevea brasiliensis (rubber tree) is the source of this 4287-nucleotide RNA transcript. It is a transcript of the gene named proline--tRNA ligase, chloroplastic/mitochondrial, with no coding region annotated. The transcript has 12 exons. NCBI's taxonomy places the organism in Eukaryota, Viridiplantae, Streptophyta, Magnoliopsida, Malpighiales, Euphorbiaceae. The record is from RefSeq and is a predicted model, not a curated record.